Small nuclear RNA from Dermacentor andersoni, 184 nucleotides. RefSeq annotates it as U2 spliceosomal RNA. The record is from RefSeq and is a predicted model, not a curated record. Lineage: Eukaryota; Metazoa; Arthropoda; Arachnida; Ixodida; Ixodidae.
AGACAUGGGCGACAGGGGUCCAAGUGCAGUAUCUCUUCUUAUCGGCUUAAUAUAUAAUAGCAGUUCUAUUUGGACCCAAUAUAUUAAACUUAUUUUUGCAAGUUGGAGGAGUGCUUGUAACCUGCUUGACCUCCGCCGCAGGUCGGCCCGAUGUUGCACUAUCUCCGGGAUCGACCCCACGGUU